RNAcentral lists this ribosomal RNA (496 nucleotides) under uncultured bacterium. RNAcentral describes it as "partial 16S ribosomal RNA". It matches the Rfam family "Bacterial small subunit ribosomal RNA", at positions 28 to 506 of the family's 1533-position model. The record is from RNAcentral.
GAUGAACGCUGGCGGCGUGCCUAAUACAUGCAAGUCGAGCGAACGGACGAGAAGCUUGCUUCUCUGAUGUUAGCGGCGGACGGGUGAGUAACACGUGGAUAACCUACCUAUAAGACUGGGAUAACUUCGGGAAACCGGAGCUAAUACCGGAUAAUAUUUUGAACCGCAUGGUUCAAAAGUGAAAGACGGUCUUGCUGUCACUUAUAGAUGGAUCCGCGCUGCAUUAGCUAGUUGGUAAGGUAACGGCUUACCAAGGCAACGAUGCAUAGCCGACCUGAGAGGGUGAUCGGCCACACUGGAACUGAGACACGGUCCAGACUCCUACGGGAGGCAGCAGUAGGGAAUCUUCCGCAAUGGGCGAAAGCCUGACGGAGCAACGCCGCGUGAGUGAUGAAGGUCCUCGGAUCGUAAAACUCUGUUAUUAGGGAAGAACAUAUGUGUAAGUAACUGUGCACAUCUUGACGGUACCUAAUCAGAAAGCCACGGCUAACUACGU